Acanthosepion pharaonis is the source of this 115-nucleotide non-coding RNA. Lineage: Eukaryota; Metazoa; Mollusca; Cephalopoda; Sepiida; Sepiidae. The record is from the annotation of a GenBank genome assembly.
UUACGGCCAAAUCACUUUCAAUCACCGGUUCUCAUACGGUCACCAAAGUUAAGCAACGUCGGGCUUGAUCAGUACCUAUAUGGGCGACCGCUUUUGAAAUAUCAGGUGCUGUAAG